Limulus polyphemus (Atlantic horseshoe crab) is the source of this 301-nucleotide long non-coding RNA. RefSeq lists it as uncharacterized. Lineage: Eukaryota; Metazoa; Arthropoda; Merostomata; Xiphosura; Limulidae. The record is from RefSeq and is a predicted model, not a curated record. The transcript has 3 exons.
CGAUAUAACAUGCCGAAAUGUUGAGACGAGGUGAAUGUCAGAGAAACAUUGGUGAGGUCAUAUUAGUGGAUUGGCCGAUGAUCAUAAAUAAUAAAGGGGCGAACGAGAAUAUUGUCGGAAGUUAUGGCGUGUUAGUCGGCGUUCCUCUAGAAAUGUAUGUCGUCCCGUCUGUGCGGCUGGGUUCGACACCACCAGGGACGGUGGUAUUAACGUGCCUUAGUUGGAGAGGUCACGGUGGCAAAAUACAGUGAGCUGGUUCUGUAUGAAGCUUUGCAUGAUCUUUCAAAAUCCAGUGUGUCAU